Long non-coding RNA from Bos taurus (domestic cattle), 2114 nucleotides. NCBI's taxonomy places the organism in Eukaryota, Metazoa, Chordata, Mammalia, Artiodactyla, Bovidae. The record is from Ensembl.
AGGGAGUAGGGCUAGGAUCAUGGGAAAUUAGAGUGCUGCUGGUUCCAUGGUUUUCCUUUUAAAAAAAAAAAAAAACCUGAAAACACUUCUCUGACAUUUCUGCUAUCUCUGUGUGCAGGUAGGCAAGCGUGCAUGCACACCAAAUAUGAACAUAUGUGUGAGGGAAGCAGGAGCUGUUUUAGAACCUAAGAACGAUGUUUUACUGUUUCUCUGAUGAGAAACAACUUGGCAGUGAUGCCCACCCACCAUUCCGGCUUGAGUAAGGGAAGGAUGGUAAGAGGGAGGGCAGAUCAGGUUUAGCCAUCUUCCCUCACUGCUGUCUUCCAUAGCAUGUUUUCAAGGGCCUCUCAAGCCCCAUCUGUCUGGUUUAGCCUAAGUCCUCAAUCUAGGGGAUAUAGUACUAUGUAAUGAUUCAGGAUUACCACUUGUAGUAAUGCUUGACUUGCUGUCUCAGUAUCUUUGUAGAUAGAAAUUCAACAGAGAUUAGCCGCUGAAGUGAGAAAGUAAGUGAGCCAUGUUGGAUCCAUGUCAUUUUCAAAUUAGAUAUCUGCAGAGUUCUCACUGCCUCCAGUUACGCUUCUCAAGCAUCUGUCUUAAGCAUCUUCUGACUUUAGGAUGUCUCUGGUCCUUAGAACUCUAUUCCCUAGGAACUAGUGUGUAGAAUCUCUAUAUACUUGUGAUUCACAACUAAAUAUGAACAUUUCCCACUCCAGGACAUGAAGCAAGUAGCUGGGGUAACAUUUUGCUGAUAGGUUGAAACACUCAACCAAGAUUUUAACAGUCUGGGUGGGACUGUCACUCCCACAGCAGUCAGAGCAAGGCACUCUUGUCUGUGCAUGCCUGGCAUCGCUCUGAAUUGAGUCCUCAUCCGUUGGGAGAAGGUCUUCUGGGGCUUUACAUUCCUGUUUCUCUGUUCAUAACCCCCUUGUGCUUCCCAGUCCCCUGUGAUUCUACAGGAGACCCGUCUCUCCUCUUUGAGCGGUGGCCUCCUGUGCACCCAGCUCAGUGACUCUCCUUGCACCAAAACUCCUGAGAGAAGAACAGCUCCCACCUUUAGAUCCCUAGCAGACUUUCUGGCCCUCGGCAGACGGUUUCCAAGAAAGAAAUCUGCACCUCAUGGUCUGUCUGAGAAGGGUAUGCUCUCUAAUCCCUCACUGCAGACUCUCCUUCUGACUGACUUCUGCCCUGUAUAUUCCACUGUGACCCCUUUGCGUGUGUUCUGUGCCACUGGCUUGGCUCUAGUCCUUUUAUGAAUACCCUAGUCUUACCGAUGAACUUGCUGAGCAGGCAGAGUCCACCUUCUCUGCGCUUCGGGGACUUGGUCUCCUUUCCUCUCUCAGAGGUCUGUUUGCUGUCAUAAUCUAGUGCGUUGGGGAGAGGUAACUAGACAGGCUGUAGUGAUGGGCCGGGGGAGAUCUGAGUACUCCGUUACCACUAUUGGGAUAAUAUUCAGAAGAGGGGAUCUCAUACUGUGACCUGACCUAAGGCCCUCCCCUGGAAGAGAGCUCAGUCCAGGUUUGUGUGUGUGUGUGUGUGUGUGUGUGGUAGAGUGUGUGUGCGUACAUGUGCUUAUGUGCACAUGGGUAUAACCUGACUUAUCUGGUUGUGUUACUCAGGGUGGGCUGGGGACUCAACAGAAGAAUCCCCUCAGCCUGCCUGCCUGUGUUUUUCCUGUACCCUCUCCAGAGGGGUUGGGGAAGGGGGUCCAGGGUGGGUUGAGGGGGUCGCAAUGGAUAACCACUAAGGCCACACUGCUGCCAGGGGGAGUCAGGGGGAGAUGAGGUGGCCCCAGGGACCUGGCACCUGGCUUUGGUUUUCCGUCUUCUUUCCUCAGGACGCCCCCUGAGGCCUGGGACCUGCGCCUGGCUUUGAGGAGCACCUGUAGCUGAGUGCUCCGGCUGCUGGUGUGAUCACGGGCUUCCCUCCUCUCUCAGCAGGGCAGGUGCUCCUGCCCUAGAGACUGGGCAACUGGCUGUUUCUAUGACGUAUUUAUUUUUACUUGUGUUUCAUGUCACUUUUUUAAAAAAAAGCAAACAGAACAAUUGUAAGUCAGUAUAACUGCCUAUCAGUUUUCUUUAUUUCUCUUUUUGUAAAAUAAAAUGUAAACUGAAGAA